GCAGCUGUGCGACUCUGACUCCCGUGGGCUGUGACAAAGGAUACUCUCUCCUGAUCCAGACCCCAGGAACCUUUAACCAUUAUCCUAGAGCACAAGGAGAUUUGGGGAGAUUUAAAUGAAAUUUUUCAAAAAAAGAUAGUCAAGUAUUCUCAUUAUCCUGCUGCUCCCAUCCAACUUUCCACCUCUCUGCACAUUUGCUUCCUUUAAGAAAAUCUGCUCAUUUAUUUUGUGAGCCUUAGCAAGAUCCCAGGCCUUGAAGUUCUGGCUCUUCGAGGUUGGAGAUCCUAAAGAAUAUUGAGAAUUGUAUUGAUUGAGGUUUUCUUGGUGUUAUACAGCAAUGCCCAUGUACUCAAGGAGCCUUUUUGAGAACAUGCUAAUUCGACAGAGAAUCAGCAGCCAACACUGUUGUCUUAAGAAGAGGACUGAAGAGGAAAAGACAAUGCUGAGAGCCUUACUGACCUCUUUCAACAGCCUCCCCACAUGCAGCUGCUUUUGGGAAGCAAAUGUGGGGCAGUCAGAGGAUCUAAAAAGUAUGGGGAUUCACUGCUGUAUAUCACAUGUAUAUCAUGUGAAUAACAUCUUUCAAUUAGGAGCAUCCCACAUUCACCCAGCUCCUUGUGGUACAUGGAUCACAUACAUACAUGGUACCAGGAUGUGCAACAGUUUUCUCACUUUCUAGAAACAACAUUUGCUGCAAGGAUGUGAAUAUUGUCAUCAUGUCAAUGAAGGUCUACACAAUGCUGAGUUCUCUGAUUUCUGUAUUUCCUCACUGAAUUCUAGAGCAUGACAGAAAUCCUCUGUUCUACGAGACAAGAAGGGAACUCGUACCAUGAAAGAUUGAAAGAGACUAGGGGCUGUUGAAAGCCCCUUAUAAAAUCUUUUCAUCCAGCUUCAGAAUCUGUACCAGCCCAAGCAUUUCCCAUCUAUGCCUGAUAGAGAAUUUUGACACUGACUUCAUGUCCUGUAGGAUUUUGAGAACAUUAAUAAACUUUCUGGGAGCGCAUUUAUUUAAUCA
This 1015-nucleotide long non-coding RNA is filed under the name Zonotrichia albicollis (white-throated sparrow). RNAcentral describes it as "lncRNA (ENSZALG00000016124.1)". Lineage: Eukaryota; Metazoa; Chordata; Aves; Passeriformes; Passerellidae. The record is from RNAcentral.